This 3177-nucleotide long non-coding RNA is filed under the name Capsicum annuum. RNAcentral describes it as "long non-coding RNA (CANN_LNC007825)". The record is from RNAcentral. Lineage: Eukaryota; Viridiplantae; Streptophyta; Magnoliopsida; Solanales; Solanaceae.
CUAGGUGGGUGUCCUAUUUUCUAUUGGUUAGUUCCUAUUUUUCUUAUUCUGUGUUGCUCUUAUUUCCCAUAUUUCAUAUUCCUGUGAUUUUAUUCUAUUAUUUCCUAUUCUUUAUUUUGGUUAUGUCAUCCAUCCCCUUGUUUAUUAUCCUUAUCUUGAACCGGGGGUCUAUCAGAAACAGCCUCUCUACUUCUUCGGAGGUAGCGGUAUGGACUGCGUACAUCUUACCCUCCCCAGACCCCACGCUGUGAGAAUACACUGGGUUUGUUGUUGUAUUUUUAGUCAUGAAACAAUUAAAUAUGUGCCUGCAGUGAACCCACGUGGUAGCCUUGUGUCUUGUGAUGAAAGUUGAAUCAGUUCAUCCUUUCAUCCUAAUUUUUCUUUUUCUAAACUAUGAAACAUCGUUUUCUUUGCCAAAAGAAUAAAUACAUACUUGAUACUACCACCUAAUAUUUUCAUCAAUUAUCAAAUUUACUACUGGAUUUUUCUUCUAAUUUCAAAUAUUACUAGUUAAUAUUUGUUUUAAAAAGUGUGUAAUUUUAUUCUCAUCAAAUUAAAAAAAAAAAACUAUACCUCCCAAAUCUCAAUUCCCAAAUCGAUCAUUGCUCCUAACGACUACACCUCUGCUUUUCUAGUCCUUGCCGCUGCUGCCGUCAGAUUUUUGUCAUCGCCGGCAAAGGUCGCGGCCUCAACCUCAUCAGCCACCUCUCACCACAUCCAUUGCUAACUUGCUAUCUCAACAUCAACCGAUUGCCUACUGCGCUUUGUAAGUUACUUUUAAAGAUUUUUUUUGUUCUCUUUCUUGAACCUAGAAACUCAAAUUUUGAAUUAUCUUGAUUUAGGAUUGAGAAAGUAUUCUAAUUUUGUGAAUUGAGAUGGAGAACUUUUUCAAGAAGGUUAAUUAUUCUCAAUCAAGUUCUAGUAAUGCUAAUGCAAAUCGUUCUUGUUUUAUAACUCAUCUCGAUUGGGUUCACUUAAAGCCGAUCCAGGAGAAAGAAGACCAAUUUCUAAUUAUGAUUCUCGAAUACAAGAUAAAGUGAGGAAAUAUUAUAUUGAGAAACGGCCUUGUCAACCUAUCUUAAAACCAAUCCUUCAAGUGAAAUCAGAGGUAGAAUGCGCCAAUUUGUUUCAAGUUGGUUCAAAGGUUCACAUUCUAGUUGGUUGGAGUAUAGUGUGGAGAAAGAUGCCGCAUAUUGUCUUUGUUGAUAUUUAUUCAAAAAUAAAUUUGUUCAUGAAUCUACGACUAAUUUUUAUGCAACGAAGGGUUUUAGGGGUUGGAAUAGGGCUCUUGAAAGAUCUCGUUUACAUGUAGGUAAAGUUAAUAGUGUUCACAACAAAUGUUACAAUAAGAUGCUAGAUUUGUCAAAUCAUCGUCAAUCAAUUCAAGUUAUUCUUGACAAACAUUCUCAAAAGUCAAAAAGUGAGCACCGAAUCCGUUUGGAAGCUUCAAUUGAUGUGGCGAGAAUUCUUUUGCAUCAUGGAUUGCCUUUUCGAGGUCAUGACGAAAGUGAAUCUUCAACUAAUCAAGGCUACUUAUUAGGAUUUUUGCAGGGGCAUGGAGACAAACAUCCGAAUGUGAAAAAAGUGAUAAGAAAAAGCUCCACAAAAUGAUACUUUAACUUGUCCUAUGAUCCAAAAGGAUAUUGUCAAUGCUUGUGCAAAAGAAACAUCGAAAGUUAUAAUUGGGGACUUGAAUAGAGAUUACUUUGGUAUAUUAGUUGAUGAAUCCAAAGACAUCUCACACAAAGAACAAAUGACUCUUGUUUUGAGGUAUGUUGAUAAGAACAGUGAAGUAGUAAGAACAUCGGCAUGCUAAUUAAAGAAAGAAAUUUAUUCUUUGCUUUCCGAUCACUCACACAGUCCAUCCAAAAUACGUGGACAAGGUUAUGACAGAGCUAGUAAUAUGAAGGGAAAGACAAAUAGUCCCAAAACUUUAAUUAUGAAAGAUAGUCCUUCGACAUAUUAUACUCAUUGUUUUGCACAUCAAUUGCAACUAACACUUAGCUAUUGCUAAAAAACAUUUAGAAGUUGAAGACUUUUUUGAUAAUGUUACUAAUGUGUUGAAUGUUGUUAGAUGAUCUUUUAAGCAUAGCGAUUUACUUCGUCAUCACCAAGUUGAAAAUUUGAAACAAUAACUUAAAUCAAGUGAAGCUCAUACAGGACAAGGAUUACAUCAAGAACGUGGGCUUCAAAGACCAGGUGAUACUUGUUGGGGGAUCAUAUUUCAAAACAUUAAAUAACUUUCUUAUUAUUUUCUCAUCUAUUGUUCUUGUGCUUGGAGUGAUUAAAAUUGAAGGUUCUACCCUCAAGUUAUAGAAAUCAAGCAGAAUAUCUUUUGACAAAUGUUAAAACAUUUAAAUUUAUUUUUAUGCUUUACUUGAUGUUGAAAGUGUUGGUCAUGUCAAAUGAGUUGAGCAAGAUUUUAAAAAAAAAUAAAAAAUCAAGAUAUUGUUAAUGUUGUGGAGUUUCUUAAUAUCUCAAAGAAAAGAUUUGCAAGAUAUGAGAGAAAAUGUGUGGGAAUCUUUGUUGGGUGAUUUUUCUUCAUUGUGUGAUUCCGUGAUAUCUUGAUUCCCAAAUUAAAUGAGCCUUAUUUUCCUGAAAGUCAAACAGUAAGUGUUUGGAUGUUUGUUAUUUGCACCACUUGCGUGUUGAAAUCUUUUGUGUUGUCAUUGAUAUGCAACUUCAAAAGCUUAAUGAUCGUUUUGAUAUAACGAGAGAGAUUUGCUUCUUGCGAUAGGCAACUUGAAUCCUAUCAAUUCUUUCUCCAACUUUGAUAAAGGCAGAAUCAUGACUUUAGCAAACUGUUAUCCAAGUGAGUUUGAUGAUGGAAAGCUUCGAGAUUUGAGUUACCAACUCAAUACUUUCAUAAUUCAUAUGCGAGGUGGUGAUUCCAAGUUCUCCAACUUGCAAGGAAUUCGUGAUUUGGCAAAGACAUUAGUUGAGGCAAAUCUUGUGGAGACUUAUUCACUUAUUUAUUUACUUGUGAAGUUGACUCUAAUUUUACCUGUUGCUACGACAAUUGUAGAGAGAGCAUUCUCGUCCAUGAAGCAUAUAAAAAAUGAAGUGCGAAAUAGUAUUGGUGAUCAAUAUUUAAAUGAUUGUUUAGUAUGUUACAUAAAGCAUGAUCGGAAACAGCCUUUCUACUUCUUCAGAGGUAGAGGUAUGGACUGCGUACAU